RNAcentral lists this long non-coding RNA (240 nucleotides) under Mytilus galloprovincialis (Mediterranean mussel). The record is from RNAcentral. Lineage: Eukaryota; Metazoa; Mollusca; Bivalvia; Mytilida; Mytilidae.
GUUCCUUAUGAGGUGCUGACCAAGUGUUGUUACUUUGUAGCCGAUCCAUCAUCCAAAAUGGCUGCCAGCAGGGGACUUAGUUUAACAUAGGACCCUAUGGGAAAUGCAUACAAAUGACUUCUUUUAGAGAACCACUGAAUGGAAUGAAACCAAACAUAGCAUGAAUGUUCCUUAUGAAGUUCUGACCAUGUGUUGUUACUUUGUAGCCGAUCCAUCACCCAAGAUGGCCGCCAGCGGGGG